CAUGAGAUCACUUUUUGCAUUGUACUUGUCUGUGAUUGAAAUAAGUAAAAAAAGAAGAAGAAGAUGGAGCAGGAGAAGGAGAAGCAGAAGAAAAGCUUGAUCUCUUUCUCCUCAUGACUGUCUGAGACUAUUAGUGUUGUAAAGGCUCCUUUACGAGAGGGCUUUUAUUUUGACAUUGCACGUCUUCUUCCAGCUGAGCAGUCACGUGAGUUAAGCUGCUGCUGAACUGUUAUGCUCUGUAGAGCCGAUCGCUGAAAGGACAUUUAUUGCUGUUUAUUUGUGAUAUUUGCUGCAGAAUUACCUCAAGGUGUUAGCCACUGAUCUGCAAACUAAUGUCUCUACUGCCUGUAACUGAUAUCUACCUGUGAAAUACCUGUACCUCUGCGGCUUAUUUUUUAUCAAUACAUCAUCUAAACCUGA
Ctenopharyngodon idella (grass carp) is the source of this 420-nucleotide long non-coding RNA. RefSeq lists it as uncharacterized. Lineage: Eukaryota; Metazoa; Chordata; Actinopteri; Cypriniformes; Xenocyprididae. The record is from RefSeq and is a predicted model, not a curated record. The transcript is spliced from 2 exons.